This 478-nucleotide ribosomal RNA is filed under the name Bacillus sp. iCTE41. RNAcentral describes it as "bacterial SSU rRNA". It matches the Rfam family "Bacterial small subunit ribosomal RNA", at positions 8 to 480 of the family's 1533-position model. The record is from RNAcentral. Lineage: Bacteria; Bacillati; Bacillota; Bacilli; Caryophanales; Bacillaceae.
AGAGUUUGAUCCUGGCUCAGGACGAACGCUGGCGGCGUGCCUAAUACAUGCAAGUCGAGCGGACAGAAGGGAGCUUGCUCCCGGAUGUUAGCGGCGGACGGGUGAGUAACACGUGGGUAACCUGCCUGUAAGACUGGGAUAACUCCGGGAAACCGGAGCUAAUACCGGAUAGUUCCUUGAACCGCAUGGUUCAAGGAUGAAAGACGGUUUCGGCUGUCACUUACAGAUGGACCCGCGGCGCAUUAGCUAGUUGGUGGGGUAAUGGCUCACCAAGGCGACGAUGCGUAGCCGACCUGAGAGGGUGAUCGGCCACACUGGGACUGAGACACGGCCCAGACUCCUACGGGAGGCAGCAGUAGGGAAUCUUCCGCAAUGGACGAAAGUCUGACGGAGCAACGCCGCGUGAGUGAUGAAGGUUUUCGGAUCGUAAAGCUCUGUUGUUAGGGAAGAACAAGUGCGAGAGUAACUGCUCGCACCU